UACGGAGGAUGCGAGCGUUAUCCGGAUUUAUUGGGUUAAAGGGUGCGUAGGCGGGCUUUUAAGUCAGCGGUAAAAAUUCGGGGCUCAACCCCGUCCGGCCGUUGAAACUGGGGGUCUUGAGUGGGCGAGAAGAAGGCGGAAUGCGUGGUGUAGCGGUGAAAUGCAUAGAUAUCACGCAGAACCCCGAUUGCGAAGGCAGCCUUCCGGCGCCCUACUGACGCUGAGGCACGAAAGUGCGGGGAUCGAACAGG
This 251-nucleotide ribosomal RNA is filed under the name uncultured bacterium. RNAcentral describes it as "partial 16S ribosomal RNA". It matches the Rfam family "Bacterial small subunit ribosomal RNA", at positions 524 to 776 of the family's 1533-position model. The record is from RNAcentral.